RNAcentral lists this transfer RNA (65 nucleotides) under Dipodomys ordii (Ord's kangaroo rat). It matches the Rfam family "tRNA". From Rfam's summary of the family: Transfer RNA (tRNA) molecules are approximately 80 nucleotides in length. Lineage: Eukaryota; Metazoa; Chordata; Mammalia; Rodentia; Heteromyidae. The record is from Rfam by way of RNAcentral.
GGUGGCUUAAUGGUAGAGUGCUUGCCUUGCAUGCAUGAGGCCCUGGGUUCGGUUCCUCAGCACCA